Ornithorhynchus anatinus (platypus) is the source of this 362-nucleotide long non-coding RNA. RefSeq lists it as uncharacterized. Lineage: Eukaryota; Metazoa; Chordata; Mammalia; Monotremata; Ornithorhynchidae. The transcript is spliced from 2 exons. The record is from RefSeq and is a predicted model, not a curated record.
AUUUCAUAUUGAGGCAAAAGCCUGUUUAUUUGCCUGAAUUAUAGGAAUUACUUUCCUAAUCAACUCCUCUAGUAUGGCAGGCAUAACUUGAAUGCUACAUCCAAUGCUCCCAGCUUCUUGGAAGAUGUGAUUAAGAUUCAAAGUGACCCACCUACAUUGUGGAGAUCAGAAGCAAACAGAAUGCUGUAUUCAUUCAAAACAAGUUCAGUGUUCUUGGAGGAAAUAUGAACCUCAUUAUAAGAAGAUGGGGAAUCCCUGGACAAAUACAACAGAAAAAAGUAUGUAGGUCAUGGUGGUGAUACUAGUCUUUAUUUAGCAACUACCUUAUGCACUGCACAUUGCUUAAUAAAAUGGAUAACAAA